UCUGUCUGCUGUUGGCUUUGUCCGUCUGCAGCGCCGCCCCUCGGCUCCCCGCCACCGGCUCGGCCCGGAGCCCCUUCCGCUCGCCGGGGCCCAGUCCCGGAGCGCCCCGGCCCGGCUGGCUUGGGCUGCGGUCCCGGGUCCAUUGUCCGGCGGUCCGUCUGUCCGGAGGCGGGGCCCAGGGACCCAGAGCGCAGCGCAGCGCGGAGGCGCCGGAUACAGAUCACUUGGAUUCAGUCGAGUUUGCUUUGCUCCGUGGGAACUGCACCAGAGCUGGAGCUUAGCAUCUUGCAAGGAAGUAGUAACAUAUCCAGUCGUGAAACUGGGAAAGACCAGAGCUGUUGCAUCAGGGAAACAUGUCCCGUCGGAAACAGACAAAUCCAAAUAAAGUUCACUGGGAUCAAGUAUUUGCUGGGCUAGAGGAGCAAGCCCGCCAGGCGAUGAUGAAAACUGAUUUUCCUGGAGACCUUGGCAGUCAGCGACAAGCUAUCCAACAACUAAGAGAUCAGGACUCCAGUAGCAGUGAGUUCUGCACCUUCUGGUCACAGGGAAUUUGAAUUCUGACCCUUUGCUUGAACUCUGCCAGUGUCCCCUCUGCCAGCUAGACUGCGGGAGCCGGGAGCAGUUGAUCGCUCAUGUGUACCA
RNAcentral lists this small RNA (642 nucleotides) under Pongo abelii (Sumatran orangutan). Its description in RNAcentral is "processed transcript". Lineage: Eukaryota; Metazoa; Chordata; Mammalia; Primates; Hominidae. The record is from RNAcentral.